RNAcentral lists this ribosomal RNA (258 nucleotides) under uncultured bacterium. RNAcentral describes it as "partial 16S ribosomal RNA". It matches the Rfam family "Bacterial small subunit ribosomal RNA", at positions 524 to 776 of the family's 1533-position model. The record is from RNAcentral.
UACGUAGGUGGCAAGCGUUGUCCGGAAUUAUUGGGCGUAAAGCGCGCGCAGGCGGUCCUUUAAGUCUGAUGUGAAAGCCCACGGCUCAACCGUGGAGGGUCAUUGGAAACUGGGGGACUUGAGUGCAGAAGAGGAAAGCGGAAUUCCGACGUGUAGCGGUGAAUGACGUAGAGAAUGUGGAGGAACACCAGUGGCGAAGGCGGCUCUCUAGUAACGGGUACUGACGCUGAGACGCGAAAAGCGUGGGGAGCGAACAGG